Molecule: ribosomal RNA, 913 nt
Filed under: uncultured bacterium
Lineage: Bacteria
Description: bacterial SSU rRNA
Rfam family: Bacterial small subunit ribosomal RNA
Source: RNAcentral
UAGUUGGUGGGGUAAAGGCCUACCAAGGCGACGAUCAGUAGCGGGUCUGAGAGGAUGAUCCGCCACACUGGGACUGAGACACGGCCCAGACUCCUACGGGAGGCAGCAGUGGGGAAUUUUGGACAAUGGGGGCAACCCUGAUCCAGCCAUUCCGCGUGAGUGAAGAAGGCCUUCGGGUUGUAAAGCUCUUUCAGCUGGAACGAAACGGUACGUCCUAAUACGGUGUGCUAAUGACGGUACCAGCAGAAGAAGCACCGGCUAACUACGUGCCAGCAGCCGCGGUAAUACGUAGGGUGCGAGCGUUAAUCGGAAUUACUGGGCGUAAAGCGUGCGCAGGCGGAUUGUUAAGCAAGAUGUGAAAUCCCCGGGCUUAACCUGGGAAUGGCAUUUUGAACUGGCAGUCUAGAGUGUGUCAGAGGGGGGUGGAAUUCCACGUGUAGCAGUGAAAUGCGUAGAGAUGUGGAGGAACACCAAUGGCGAAGGCAGCCCCCUGGGAUAACACUGACGCUCAUGUACGAAAGCGUGGGUAGCAAACAGGAUUAGAUACCCUGGUAGUCCACGCCCUAAACGAUGUCAACUGGUUGUUGGGGGAGUGAAAUCCCUUAGUAACGAAGCUAACGCGUGAAGUUGACCGCCUGGGGAGUACGGUCGCAAGAUUAAAACUCAAAGGAAUUGACGGGGACCCGCACAAGCGGUGGAUGAUGUGGAUUAAUUCGAUGCAACGCGAAAAACCUUACCUACCCUUGACAUGUCCAGAACCCUGCAGAGAUGCGGGGGUGCCCGAAAGGGAAUUGGAACACAGGUGCUGCAUGGCUGUCGUCAGCUCGUGUCGUGAGAUGUUGGGUUAAGUCCCGCAACGAGCGCAACCCUUAUCAUUAGUUGCUACGCAAGGGCACUCUAAUGAGACUGCCGG